AUUGAACGCUGGCGGCAGGCCUAACACAUGCCAGUCGAGCGGAUGAAGGGAGCUUGCUACUGGAUUCAGCGGCGGACGGGUGAGUAAUGCCUAGGAAUCUGCCUGGUAGUGGGGGAUAACGUCCGGAAACGGGCGCUAAUACCGCAUACGUCCUGAGGGAGAAAGUGGGGGAUCUUCGGACCUCACGCUAUCAGAUGAGCCUAGGUCGGAUUAGCUAGUUGGUGGGGUAAAGGCCUACCAAGGCGACGAUCCGUAACUGGUCUGAGAGGAUGAUCAGUCACACUGGAACUGAGACACGGUCCAGACUCCUACGGGAGGCAGCAGUGGGGAAUAUUGGACAAUGGGCGAAAGCCUGAUCCAGCCAUGCCGCGUGUGUGAAGAAGGUCUUCGGAUUGUAAAGCACUUUAAGUUGGGAGGAAGGGCAGUAAGUUAAUACCUUGCUGUUUUGACGUUACCAACAGAAUAAGCACCGGCUAACUUCGUG
This 484-nucleotide ribosomal RNA is filed under the name uncultured bacterium. RNAcentral's name for it is "partial 16S ribosomal RNA". It matches the Rfam family "Bacterial small subunit ribosomal RNA", at positions 30 to 507 of the family's 1533-position model. The record is from RNAcentral.